Molecule: ribosomal RNA, 497 nt
Filed under: uncultured bacterium
Lineage: Bacteria
Description: partial 16S ribosomal RNA
Rfam family: Bacterial small subunit ribosomal RNA
Source: RNAcentral
GAUGAACGCUGGCGGCGUGCCUAAUACAUGCAAGUCGAGCGAACGGACGAGAAGCUUGCUUCUCUGAUGUUAGCGGCGGACGUGUGAGUAACACGUGGAUAACCUACCUAUAAGACUGGGAUAACUUCGGGAAACCGGAGCUAAUACCGGAUAAUAUUUUGAACCGCAUGGUUCAAAAGUGAAAGACGGUCUUGCUGUCACUUAUAGAUGCAUCCGCGCUGCAUUAGCUAGUUGGUAAGGUAACGGCUUACCAAGGCAACGAUGCAUAGCCGAACUGAGAGGGUGAUCGGCCACAGUGGAACUGAGACAGGGUCCAGACUCCUACGGGAGGCAGCAGUAGGGAAUCUUCCGCAAUGGGCGAAAGCCUGACGGAGCAAAGCCGCGUGAGUGAUGAAGGUCUUCGGAUCGUAAAACUCUGUUAUUAGGGAAGAACAUAUGUGUAAGUAACUGUGCACAUCUUGACGGUACCUAAUCAGAAAGCCACGGCUAACUACGUG